UGAGCAAUCUGCCCUUCUCUUUGGAAUAAGCGUUGGAAACGACGUCUAAUGCCGAAUACGACCUCCUUUCGCGUGAUCGGAGGUGAAAAGCUCCGGCGGAGAAGGAUGAGCUCGCGGCCUAUCAGCUAGUUGGUGUGGGUAAUGGCCCACCCAGGCGACGACGGGUAGCCGGCCUGAGAGGGUGUCCGGCCACACUGGGACUGAGAUACGGCCCAGACUCCUACGGGAGGCAGCAGG
RNAcentral lists this ribosomal RNA (237 nucleotides) under uncultured bacterium. RNAcentral describes it as "partial 16S ribosomal RNA". It matches the Rfam family "Bacterial small subunit ribosomal RNA", at positions 118 to 354 of the family's 1533-position model. The record is from RNAcentral.